RNAcentral lists this ribosomal RNA (301 nucleotides) under uncultured bacterium. RNAcentral describes it as "partial 16S ribosomal RNA". It matches the Rfam family "Bacterial small subunit ribosomal RNA", at positions 509 to 808 of the family's 1533-position model. The record is from RNAcentral.
CAGUAGCCGCGGGAAUACGAAGGGGGCUAGCGUUGCUCGGAAUUACUGGGCGUAAAGGGAGCGUAGGCGGACAUUUAAGUCAGGGGUGAAUCCCAGAGCUCAACUCUGGAACUGCCUUUGAUACUGGGUGUCUUGAGUGUGAUAGAGGUAUGUGGAACUCCGAGUGUAGAGGUGAAAUUCGUAGAUAUUCGGAAGAACACCAGUGGCGAAGGCGACAUACUGGAUCAUUACUGACGCUGAGGCUCGAAAGCGUGGGGAGCAAACAGGAUUAGAGACCCCCGUAGUCCCUGUCUCUUAUACA